UAAUAAGAAGGCCGUGGUCCUUCUUUCAGUGAUGUACAUAUGCAGAUCAAAGAGGAACCUGUGAUCUUAUGUUCAGGGGUUGUGCAUGUGCAUGGUGAGCAUAUUUGAGAGGAGCACACAGGCUUCUGUUUUUGUCUACUUUCCAGUCAUGACCCUACCAGACUAAUGUCACGUACGCAUGUUUGUUUACAAGUUUUCGCUCAAUGGUUGCAGACUGCUAAUCUGCUAAUUGAUUUAUUUACUUAUAAAUAUAGUAAAUAUAGGAUAGUAAAUAUAGGAAUAGGAAUAUAGGUAGUAAAUAUAGGAUUAAUCUGAUCAAUGUUCUUCUCUUCAACAGUAUUUCUAAGAAACUUUUUAAAUAGAUAUUUAAAUAAAUAGCUUUCUAUGUAACAACGUGCCAUCUCCAUUCUUAAAAUAUGAUAAUAAUUAUUAUUAGACUAACCAUAACCCCCCAGACUUAAAAUUACAUUAAAUUUUUAUUUAAAUUAAAUUUUACUUUUUUAAAUUGUUAAAAUGUAUUUAAAGGUACACUAUGUAACCUUUUUUGUUCAGAAUUAACAAAAUUGAAAUGAGUCAAUACAUCAUCAAUGCUUCUUUCAAAAUGUUUGGAAUGUGUGUGUGUUUUUUCUUACCCUGAUUCACUAUAGUAAGUUUGUUAUAAUUUAUAUUUUAGACAUAGCAUGAUGGUUUUCUCCUCACCUGUGCAUGUCUUGACAUAUCUAUAAAUAGAGAAAAGUUCAGGCUACAUUGAUGCAUGUGUGGUGUGGGAGUGGCAUAAGAUUGUUGUCACAAUGACUGAGAAAGGUUGACAUGGAGCUCAAACUUCUGGAGAAUUAGCCAUUUUUAAAAAAAACGCUGAACAAAGGAGAGUCUGCUGCCAAAAAGACAAAGUGGUAGAGCUUGUAAUAAAAUGAGAAUCAAUAUUGGCUUGGCUUUUUGGUGAUGGCGAGAAGAACUCAGGGAUUUGAAAUGUUGUAAAGUAACGCGGAGAUGGCAUUUUUAUUAUGCAACAAGUGAGUAAUGUAUUUUAUUGAACAGUUAAAUUGCAAUAUGUAGCUUUCUAACAGAGUUCAUUGUAAAGCAUUAUCUAUUGUGAAAGGUCAUUUCAUUAUAGGUUGUUGUAGCGCUGUGCUGGAAUUUAUUUACAAGGAAGUACUGUGUCUAUUAAUGGGUUUAGCUACACUGUUACACUGUAAUAUCGCUGUAGAUUUAGCAGCACAGUACUGUAAAAACCUACAGUAGGUACAGUAACACAUUUCUAUAUUACAGUAAAAUACUGUAAUUUAUAUUGCAUUCUGGGUCAUUUUGAUUGAGCGGGAAUAUUUUACAGUAUAUUUUAGUGUGUAACCCUGCUGUAACCCUGCUGUAAUAUACCAGGCAAUAAUACAGGAUCACACAGACAGAAGAACACAGCCGCUGGUGACUGGAGAAGCAGAACGGUGUAUUUCUGGAAGUUCGUGUGAUCCACUUGUCUUUGCAUCCUGGGAAGUGCAUUGCUGUCACAAGGAAGCAUAUGAGUAUUUUUUUCGGCAUUGAAGGGAAGAAAUGUACUGCCCGACAGGGAGUAAGCAGAAGAUCAGGACGUGGUGCAGAGUGCUGGCCAUCAACCUGCAUGUCAACAGCUUUGUUCGGUCCUUUGUGUUUAAAUGGAAGACUUCACACUGAGGGACUGUAGCCUGUUUGCAACCAUCCACGUGCCCUUCAGUUAGGGGUGAAGGUUGUGGGACACUUGUUGUUUUUGCUCACUUUUUAAGAUAAAUCAAAUUGCUGAUGCACAGUACCAGGGCCAUUGCUGAUGGGGCGAAAGAUGGUGACAAUUCUGAAAUGUUUUGAAAUGUUUAAAUAUAUUGAUUGAAUAAAAAUACAUUUUUUAAUUUA
Megalobrama amblycephala (Wuchang bream) is the source of this 1878-nucleotide long non-coding RNA. RefSeq lists it as uncharacterized. The record is from RefSeq and is a predicted model, not a curated record. The transcript is spliced from 3 exons. Lineage: Eukaryota; Metazoa; Chordata; Actinopteri; Cypriniformes; Xenocyprididae.